CUGCAUGGAAAACACAACGUAUAUAAAUCAUCACUUACGUAAGCUUAAAAAAAUAAGUCACCUAACAGAAUUUAAUUUGGUCUAUACCUUUGUCCUCCAAUGGGUCCACGCUAACAGAUCCAACACCCACUGCAGUUUCGACCACACCACGCACUUCCAUGCGGACUGAUGUUGCCUUUGGACCAACCUGAGUGCAAAUCACUGCAGUGUCGC
This 213-nucleotide long non-coding RNA is filed under the name Brassica napus (rape). RNAcentral describes it as "long non-coding RNA (BNAP_LNC008540)". Lineage: Eukaryota; Viridiplantae; Streptophyta; Magnoliopsida; Brassicales; Brassicaceae. The record is from RNAcentral.